This 506-nucleotide ribosomal RNA is filed under the name uncultured bacterium. RNAcentral describes it as "partial 16S ribosomal RNA". It matches the Rfam family "Bacterial small subunit ribosomal RNA", at positions 30 to 523 of the family's 1533-position model. The record is from RNAcentral.
AUUGAACGCUGGCGGCAGGCCUAACACAUGCAAGUCGAACGGUAACAGGAAACAGCUUGCUGUUUCGCUGACGAGUGGCGGACGGGUGAGUAAUGUCUGGGAAACUGCCUGAUGGAGGGGGAUAACUACUGGAAACGGUAGCUAAUACCGCAUAACGUCGCAAGACCAAAGAGGGGGACCUUCGGGCCUCUUGCCAUCGGAUGUGUCCAGAUGGGAUUAGCUUGUUGGUGGGGUAACGGCUCACCAAGGCGACGAUCCCUAGCUGGUCUGAGAGGAUGACCAGCCACCCUGGAACUGAGACACGGUCCAGACUCCUACGGGAGGCAGCAGUGGGGAAUAUUGCACAAUGGGCGCAAGCCUGAUGCAGCCAUGCCGCGUGUAUGAAGAAGGCCUUCGGGUUGUAAAGUACUUUCAGCGGGGAGGAAGGGAGUAAAGUUAAUACCUUUACUCAUUGACGUUACCCGCAGUAGAAGCACCGGCUAACUCCGUGCCAGCAGCCGCGGUAA